UUUUCUGCUGGCUCUCCGGACUCAGCUACCCCAACUUCAGGGGUUAACCACACUAAGCGCGAGCUACUGCGCGUGGAGAGGGCGAGUCCACUUCCUGCUUGUAAAUAAAAACAUUGAAAACGCCA
Fundulus heteroclitus (mummichog) is the source of this 125-nucleotide long non-coding RNA. RefSeq lists it as uncharacterized. NCBI's taxonomy places the organism in Eukaryota, Metazoa, Chordata, Actinopteri, Cyprinodontiformes, Fundulidae. The record is from RefSeq and is a predicted model, not a curated record. The transcript is spliced from 2 exons.